CCUACGCGAGGCAGCAGUGGGGGAUAUUGCACAAUGGGGGAAACCCUGAUGCAGCGACGCCGCGUGGGCGAAGAAGUAUCUCGGUAUGUAAAGCCCUAUCAGCAGGGAAGAAGAAAUGACGGUACCUGAGUAAGAAGCACCGGCUAAAUACGUGCCAGCAGCCGCGGUAAUACGUAUGGUGCAAGCGUUAUCCGGAUUUACUGGGUGGAAAGGGAGCGUAGACGGCGAUGCAAGCCAGAUGUGAAAGCCCGGGGCUCAACCCCCGGACUGCAUUUGGAACUAUGUGGCUGGAGUGUCGGAGAGGCAGGCGGAAUUCCUGGUGUAGCAGUGAAAUGCGUAGAUAUUAGGAGGAACACCAGUGGCGAAGGCGGCCUGCUGGACGAUGACUGACGUUGAGGCUCGAAGGCGUGGGGAGCAAACAGGAUUAGAUACCCGGGUAGUC
Molecule: ribosomal RNA, 442 nt
Filed under: uncultured bacterium
Lineage: Bacteria
Description: partial 16S ribosomal RNA
Rfam family: Bacterial small subunit ribosomal RNA
Source: RNAcentral